UGCCCAGCAACUCCUAUCCCUACCAGCCAUCGCGGUACUGGUCGGGGUACGAGUAACCUUAGGGAAGAUCGGGUAACCAACCCCCGGUGGUAACUUUGGUCGUAUGCUGAUAGGGAAGG
RNAcentral lists this ribozyme (119 nucleotides) under Aedes aegypti (yellow fever mosquito). Its description in RNAcentral is "drz-agam-1 ribozyme". It matches the Rfam family "drz-agam-1 ribozyme". Lineage: Eukaryota; Metazoa; Arthropoda; Insecta; Diptera; Culicidae. The record is from Rfam by way of RNAcentral.